CCUACGGGUGGCAGCAGUGGGGAAUAUUGCACAAUGGGCGCAAGCCUGAUGCAGCCAUGCCGCGUGUGUGAAGAAGGCCUUCGGGUUGUAAAGCACUUUCAGCGGGGAGGAAGGCGUUAAGGUUAAUAACCUUGUCGAUUGACGUUACCCGCAGAAGAAGCACCGGCUAACUCCGUGCCAGCAGCCGCGGUAAUACGGAGGGUGCAAGCGUUAAUCGGAAUUACUGGGCGUAAAGCGCACGCAGGCGGUCUGUCAAGUCGGAUGUGAAAUCCCCGGGCUCAACCUGGGAACUGCAUUCGAAACUGGCAGGCUAGAGUCUUGUAGAGGGGGGUAGAGGUCCAGGUGUAGCGGUGAAAUGCGUAGAGAUCUGGAGGAAUACCGGUGGCGAAGGCGGCCCCCUGGACAAAGACUGACGCUCAGGUGCGAAAGCGUGGGGAGCAAACGGGAUUAGAUACCCGUGUAGUC
Molecule: ribosomal RNA, 465 nt
Filed under: uncultured Klebsiella sp.
Lineage: Bacteria; Pseudomonadati; Pseudomonadota; Gammaproteobacteria; Enterobacterales; Enterobacteriaceae
Description: bacterial SSU rRNA
Rfam family: Bacterial small subunit ribosomal RNA
Source: RNAcentral